Molecule: long non-coding RNA, 2541 nt
Filed under: Vitis vinifera (wine grape)
Lineage: Eukaryota; Viridiplantae; Streptophyta; Magnoliopsida; Vitales; Vitaceae
Description: long non-coding RNA (VVIN_LNC001794)
Source: RNAcentral
CCAAAGUCACGGUAUUGCCGUGGUGUUCCUGAUCCCAAGAUCAGGAUUUAUGACGUGGGAAUGAAGAAAAAGGGAGUUGAUGAGUUCCCUUUUUGUGUGCACUUGGUUAGUUGGGAGAAGGAAAAUGUUUCAAGUGAGGCUUUGGAAGCUGCUAGAAUUGCUUGCAACAAGUACAUGACCAAGUAUGCUGGGAAAGAUGCCUUCCAUCUGAGAGUCAGGGUGCACCCAUUCCAUGUCUUGCGUAUCAACAAGAUGCUUUCCUGUGCUGGAGCCGAUAGGCUUCAAACUGGAAUGAGGGGUGCUUUUGGUAAGCCUCAAGGGACAUGCGCUAGGGUGAGCAUUGGACAGGUCCUUUUGUCUGUUCGAUGCAAGGAUGGAAACAGCCAUCAUGCACAGGAGGCUCUCCGUCGUGCAAAAUUCAAGUUCCCUGGCCGUCAAAAGAUCAUUGUCAGCAGGAAGUGGUAUGUGCAGUUUUUAUUAUUUAAGUUCCAUAAACUGCUUAAAGAAGCUUAGACAUCAUUUUUGCCCAACAUAUCACAUGGCCUGUUCCAAAAAUCAGUAAAUAUACCUUUGGUUCAGUAAGUUAUACACAUUGAUACCAUGUACGAUGUAUUUUACUUUUGUGUCUAAGCUAGGACAGAUUAGGUGAAUGGUUCACUGUUCAGUAUCACAAAUUGCAAUACAUAUUUCCAUUAACAUCUAACAGGAAGUGUUUAAACUCUUUUAAAGAAAAUUGUCUACAAACAUCAUAUCUAUAUUCUAUAGCUACCUUUAUUCACCCUUUAUCACCUGCACAAAAACCCAAGGUCAACAUAGUUAACUUGCACCUUAUUUCCUGUGCAUCAAAGCCAAGACCUAGACCUGGAUACUGUGUUUUUUGUACUCCUAAGAGUAGCUCUAGAAAUAUAUAUAUUUCAACCUUUUAGUGAGUGAUUUAAUCCAUGGAAUCAUUGUGCUUUUGGGAUUUUUAAAUUGUAACUCCAGCUUAUUCAUCCUCUGAUAAACCUUCCAUGUUUGAUGUGGAAAUGUAAAAUUUAUUCAAUUUAUUAUUAUGUUGAGAAAGAGCGGGGAAAAGGGGGUGGGAUUGGGUUAAUUUGUGGAAGUGUGUAAUUGGUUUACUUUGAGUGUAGAUCUUUGCUUAGGUGGUGUUUGUUUUUUUACUUUACUCUAAAUAGAACUUUAAUGCUUAAUAGUAUUAAGUGUUAGGAUGUUUGUUUUUGUAAUAUUUUAUUUCUACUAAGUAUUAAAAAGUAAAGAAAAAUCAACAUGUUUCUUUUUCCAUUUAGAAAAAGCCAAAUAUUUUGUUUUUUCUAUUCAGCAAAAAGUUUAUAAUAAGUAAAAAAAAGUAGAAAUUACUUAUCAAAAAAAAAAAAAAAAGUAGAAAAACAAACAACCUAAAGUCUGAAAGCAAAUUGCUUUUAGUAUAAAGUUAAAAAAACAAACACCCUCUUAGUCUUUUUGUUUAAUGAGUGAUUGAAUCCUGGAUGUCCCUCAGCCUUGUGAGAGUUGCAUCUACUCACCUAACUAAUUCAUAAUGUUUUGGAAUUUUUUUUCUGUUGGUGGGUAGAAAUUGAAACAGUUCUGUGUCAAGUUCAGAGUUUUUACUAUAAGGUGGUACUUCUUUUUUUCUUUCUUUUAACUUAAAUUUACCUCUAAAUACAAAUUAAUAGUCUAAAUCUUAAGUUGUUUGUUUUAUCACAAUGAGAGUUCCGUGUGAGGUCGGGGGUUAGAAGUGUGAAUCAGCUAACUUUUUAGUUUAGGAAAAAAGUCACAUAUUUUAGUUUUUUCUAUUCAGUUAAGAAUAUUGGUAAACAAGUUAAAAGUUCAAUAAAUAAAUAAAAAUAAACAACUUAAGUCUGAAAGUAAAUUGCAUUCAGCAUGAAGUUAGAAAAGCAAACCCCCCUUAAGGUUAGGAGUUUGAUUGGUUUGCUCUGAAUAAUGUUAAAUCUUCAUCAAAUGUUCUUCGCUUAGUGUAUGGUUGAACCUUGGACGCACUUUUGCCUAGUUGUAGCUGUUGCUGCAGCUCAGGGUCACCAACUCUUUUUUUGCUCAUUAAAUAAUUGAGCCAAUGAGCAUUUGCCUUGUGAACCUGCAUUUUUUUUUUUUUGGGUUUUUUCUUUUUGGUUGUUGGAUGAAUUGAAGUGACUUAUCUUACUGUCUGUGACAUGUUAUCAGGGGUUUCACAAAGUUCAACAGAACUGAUUACAUCAAGUGGAAGUCUGAGAACCGGAUUCUCCCUGAUGGUGUCAAUGCCAAGGUUUGCCUCUGCAAUAUUUAGCCAAAUAUAGUUCUCAGCUUUUCUUUCUUUACAUCAGGCAGGUGGUGUGUUUGGUUUGUGAUAAACUUAUGGCGCUUCUUAUUUGAAUCUUGCAGCUUCUCGGAUGCCAUGGACCUCUAGCAAAUCGUCAGCCUGGAAAAGCAUUUAUAAAUGCAUGCACCUAGGCCUUGCUUGAAAAUACCAGAAUUAUGUGUUAAACAUUUUGGUCUACUUCCUUAGCACUUGAGCAUUUAUGAAGAACCUAGUACCUAGCUUCCUUUCUU